RNAcentral lists this ribosomal RNA (1140 nucleotides) under Belnapia rosea. RNAcentral describes it as "Belnapia sp. CPCC 100156 Bacterial large subunit ribosomal RNA". It matches the Rfam family "Bacterial large subunit ribosomal RNA", at positions 51 to 1251 of the family's 2925-position model. Lineage: Bacteria; Pseudomonadati; Pseudomonadota; Alphaproteobacteria; Acetobacterales; Roseomonadaceae. The record is from Rfam by way of RNAcentral.
GAAGGACGUGGCACGCUGCGAAAAGCCGCGGGGAGAUGCGAGCGAUCGUUGAUCCGCGGAUGUCCGAAUGGGGAAACCCACCCUUACGAGGGUAUCGGGGCCUGAAUACAUAGGGUUUCGAGGCAAACCCGGGGAACUGAAACAUCUCAGUACCUGGAGGAACAGACAUCAACCGAGAUUCCGCGAGUAGUGGCGAGCGAAAGCGGAUUAGGCCAGUGGUCGUUGUGUGAGAAGCCGAGAGGUCUGGAAAGGCCUGCCGCAGUGGGUGAUAGCCCCGUAGGCGUAGAGCGCACGGCGAUCCUUGAGUAGGGCGAGGCACGUGAAACCUUGUCUGAACAUGGGGGGACCACCCUCCAAGCCUAAAUACUCCUUGGCGACCGAUAGUGCACAAGUACCGUGAGGGAAAGGUGAAAAGCACCCCGAUGAGGGGAGUGAAAGAGACCUGAAACCGAGCGCCUACAAGCAGUCGGAGCGGGCCUGUCCCGUGACGGCGUACCUUUUGUAUAAUGGGUCCGCGAGUUUCUGUUGGCAGCGAGCUUAAGCCGUGAGGUGUAGGCGGAGCGAAAGCGAGUCCGAACAGGGCGCCUAGUUGCCGGCAGAAGACCCGAAACCGAGUGAUCUAGCCAUGGCCAGGCUGAAGGUGCGGUAACACGCACUGGAGGGCCGAACCCACGCCUGUUGAAAAAGUCGGGGAUGAGCUGUGGCUAGGGGUGAAAGGCCAAUCAAACUCGGAAAUAGCUGGUUCUCCGCGAAAUCUAUUGAGGUAGAUCGUCGCUCGAUUACCGCCGGAGGUAGAGCACCGGAAGGGCUAGGGGGGCCCAAAGCCCUACCAAACCCUACCGAACUCCGAAUGCCGGCGAGUACAGGGCGGCAGACAGACAGUGGGUGCUAAGGUCCAUUGUCGAGAGGGAAACAGCCCAGACCACCAGCUAAGGCCCCCAAAUGAUGGCUAAGUGGGAAAGCAUGUAGGACGGCCAUAACAACCAGGAGGUUGGCUUAGAAGCAGCCAUCCUUUAAAGAAAGCGUAAUAGCUCACUGGUCUAAUAGCUGUCCCGCGGCGAAAAUGUAACGGGGCUCAAGCCAUCUGCCGAAGCUGUGGAUGCUCGAAAGAGCGUGGUAGCGGAGCGUUCCCUAAGCCUG